Molecule: ribosomal RNA, 595 nt
Filed under: uncultured bacterium
Lineage: Bacteria
Description: bacterial SSU rRNA
Rfam family: Bacterial small subunit ribosomal RNA
Source: RNAcentral
CCUACGGGAGGCAGCAGUAGGGAAUUUUCCGCAAUGGGCGAAAGCCUGACGGAGCAAUACCGCGUGAGGGAUGACGGCCUGUGGGUUGUAAACCUCUUUUCUCAAGGAAGAAGUUCUGACGGUACUUGAGGAAUAAGCAUCGGCUAACUCUGUGCCAGCAGCCGCGGUAAUACAGAGGAUGCAAGCGUUAUCCGGAAUCACUGGGCAUAAAGCGUCUGUAGGUUGUUUAGUAAGUCUGCUGUUAAAGACUGGGGCUUAACCCCAGAAAAGCAGUGGAAACUGCUAGACUCGAGUGUGGUAGAGGUAGAGGGAAUUCCUAGUGUAGCGGUGAAAUGCGUAGAUAUUAGGAGGAACACCAAUGGCGAAGGCACUCUACUGGGCCAUAACUGACACUGAGAGACGACAGCUAGGGGAGCAAACGGGAUUAGAUACCCCGGUAGUCCUAGCCGUAAACGAUGGAUACUAGAUGUUGCACGUAUUAACCCGUGCAGUAUCGUAGCUAAGGCGUUAAGUAUCCCGCCUGGGAAGUACGCUCGCAAGAGUGAAACUCAAAGGAAUUGACGGCUGAGAGNGCGAGACGACGACGAGGGAGAGG